Molecule: long non-coding RNA, 457 nt
Organism: Armigeres subalbatus
Lineage: Eukaryota; Metazoa; Arthropoda; Insecta; Diptera; Culicidae
Exons: 2
Source: RefSeq, a predicted model, not a curated record
AUCUGUCAAAUCAAUAAAGUGUUGACAACAUUUCUGAGUGAGGAGAAAAUGCAAGCAACAUAACUAGUGAAGCAGCAUCAUAAUUUUCCUCUAAUUAUACGUACAUACGUAUCUAUAAUAAUGUUAUUUAGAAACUAAUACGAGCCAGUUCGGUGCAUGCUGUAGUGGAUCAUGGAGCGAGACAGGCAGACCAGGACACCGAUAAGGUAUCCGCGAAUUAAUUCGUCCGGUCAUGCAGAGAGAAUGACACACCAAAAAACAUCGAUUUACUACAAAGAAAAUAUGCUGUGACGAGAAACGCUGGCAACUGGAGGAACAGUAAUGCUGGUGCCAAUACCAUCUAAAAAAAUAGGAGUAGUGAAGUAAGUGAAAAUUAGUGAAAAAGCUGGCUGGCAUUAGAAAUAACUCAGCGAACUGAAAUGGAAUCAGGUGAAUAAAGUACAUUUUCUACCUUUUA